This 204-nucleotide small nuclear RNA is filed under the name Physcomitrium patens. RNAcentral's name for it is "Physcomitrella patens U2 spliceosomal RNA". It matches the Rfam family "U2 spliceosomal RNA". From Rfam's summary of the family: U2 is a small nuclear RNA (snRNA) component of the spliceosome (involved in pre-mRNA splicing). Complementary binding between U2 snRNA (in an area lying towards the 5' end but 3' to hairpin I) and the branchpoint sequence (BPS) of the intron results the bulging out of an unpaired adenosine, on the BPS, which initiates a nucleophilic attack at the intronic 5' splice site, thus starting the first of two transesterification reactions that mediate splicing. The record is from Rfam by way of RNAcentral. Lineage: Eukaryota; Viridiplantae; Streptophyta; Bryopsida; Funariales; Funariaceae.
AUUCCUUUCUUAACUUCUUGGCUAAGAUCGAGCGUAGUGUCUGGUUUUAUUAGUUAAAUAUGUGAUGGAAUGCUCAUCAAGUUUCAUUUAUUAUUUUUUCAUUUUUCAUUUUUUUCAUUUGCGAGUGGAGAUCGAUUCGGCAGCUUGCCGCUGGGUUUCACGAACAUCGUAUUGAUAUUUCAUUACAUCCGUGGUGCGGCCCUC